RNAcentral lists this ribosomal RNA (497 nucleotides) under uncultured bacterium. RNAcentral's name for it is "partial 16S ribosomal RNA". It matches the Rfam family "Bacterial small subunit ribosomal RNA", at positions 28 to 507 of the family's 1533-position model. The record is from RNAcentral.
GAUGAACGCUGGCGGCGUGCCUAAUACAUGCAAGUCGAGCGAACAGACGAGGAGCUUGCUCCUCUGACGUUAGCGGCGGACGGGUGAGUAACACGUGGAUAACCUACCUAUAAGACUGGGAUAACUUCGGGAAACCGGAGCUAAUACCGGAUAAUAUAUUGAACCGCAUGGUUCAAUAGUGAAAGACGGUUUUGCUGUCACUUAUAGAUGGAUCCGCGCCGCAUUAGCUAGUUGGUAAGGUAACGGCUUACCAAGGCGACGAUGCGUAGCCGACCUGAGAGGGUGAUCGGACACACUGGAACUGAGACACGGUCCAGACUCCUACGGGAGGCAGCAGUAGGGAAUCGUCCGCAAUGGGCGAAAGCCUGACGGAGCAACGCCGCGUGAGUGAUGAAGGUCUUCGGAUCGUAAAACUCUGUUAUUAGGGAAGAACAAAUGUGUAAGUAACUAUGCACGUCUUGACGGUACCUAAUCAGAAAGCCACGGCUAACUACGUG